Molecule: ribosomal RNA, 563 nt
Filed under: Diaporthe pseudomangiferae
Lineage: Eukaryota; Fungi; Ascomycota; Sordariomycetes; Diaporthales; Diaporthaceae
Description: eukaryotic LSU rRNA
Rfam family: 5.8S ribosomal RNA (bases 203-356)
Source: RNAcentral
GUAGGGUGACCUGCGGAGGGAUCAUUGCUGGAACGCGCCCCAGGCGCACCCAGAAACCCUUUGUGAACUUAUACCUUACUGUUGCCUCGGCGUAUGCUGGCCCCUAGGGGUCCCUCACUCCGGUGAGGAGCAGGCACGCCGGCGGCCAAGUUAACUCUUGUUUUUACGCUGAAACUCUGAGAAAAAAAACAAAAUGAAUCAAAACUUUCAACAACGGAUCUCUUGGUUCUGGCAUCGAUGAAGAACGCAGCGAAAUGCGAUAAGUAAUGUGAAUUGCAGAAUUCAGUGAAUCAUCGAAUCUUUGAACGCACAUUGCGCCCUCCGGUAUUCCGGAGGGCAUGCCUGUUCGAGCGUCAUUUCAACCCUCAAGCCUGGCUUGGUGUUGGGGCACUGCCUGUAAAAGGGCAGGCCCUCAAAUCUAGUGGCGAGCUCGCCAGGACCCCGAGCGUAGUAGUUAAACCCUCGCUUUGGAAGGCCCUGGCGGUGCCCUGCCGUUAAACCCCCAACUCUUUGAAAAUUUGACCUCGGAUCAGGUAGGAAUACCCGCUGAACUUAAGCAUAUC